This 387-nucleotide unclassified non-coding RNA is filed under the name soil metagenome. Its description in RNAcentral is "partial contains 5.8S ribosomal RNA, internal transcribed spacer 2, and large subunit ribosomal RNA". The stretch from base 1 to 120 matches the Rfam family "5.8S ribosomal RNA", at positions 35 to 154 of the family's 154-position model. The record is from RNAcentral.
GAUGAAGAACGCAGCGAAUUGCGAUAAGUAAUGUGAAUUGCAGAAUUCAGUGAAUCAUCGAAUCUUUGAACGCACCUUGCACCCUUUGGUAUUCCGAAGGGUAUGCUCGUUUGAGUGUCAUUGUACUCUCACACUUCUAAUUCCUUUCGGGAUUGGGAGCGGUGGACUUGGGUGUUGCUGCUUUAGUUGUGGCUCACCUCAAAUAAGUUAGUGCAACUCUUGGUUGGACAUAGUACGGCGUGAUAAGUGUCUUCGCCGGCGCCUCUGUAAGGAGGGUGGCCGAUCGGGAGCUCUGUGCUUCAAACCGUCUUCGGACAAUCUUUGACAACUUGACCUCAAAUCGAGUAGGACUACCCGCUGAACUUAAGCAUAUCAAUAAGCGGAGGA